This 253-nucleotide ribosomal RNA is filed under the name uncultured bacterium. RNAcentral's name for it is "partial 16S ribosomal RNA". It matches the Rfam family "Bacterial small subunit ribosomal RNA", at positions 524 to 776 of the family's 1533-position model. The record is from RNAcentral.
UACGUAGGUGGCAAGCGUUGUCCGGAUUUAUUGGGUUUAAAGGGUGCGUAGGCGGCUUUGUAAGUCAGUGGUGAAAUACGGUAGCUUAACUAUCGAGGUGCCAUUGAUACUGCAGAGCUUGAGUACAGAUGAGGUAGGCGGAAUUGACGGUGUAGCGGUGAAAUGCUUAGAUAUCGUCAAGAACACCUAUAGCGAAGGCAGCUUACUAGGCUGUAACUGACGCUGAGGCACGAAAGUGUGGGGAUCAAACAGG